ACCCAGACCACAAAUUAUACAACAACACCGAUGCACCAAUCUCUCACUUUAAGCUACACAAAACCACGAAUGGACAAACCAACACACCCAAAUCUUAACUUCAUCUACCGGUGGCUGAUACUGCCGAUUUGCCGCUACCGUUCCUUCCAUUUCUCCCUCGCCAGCCAGCCAGCCAGCUAACUCACUUACUUGCUCUGCUUUCUCUCUUUUUCUUUUAUUUUGAAAUGACUUUUUUUUUCGAAAUAACUCUUUAAUCUUUUGUAAUUUCAUGGUUGCUUUACUUAUUAUUACUGUAUUAGAUUAUUAAUUGUAUUUGGUUUUAUUAGUUUUGUUUGGAUUUGUACAUGUGACUGGAUCUGCAAAUGUCACUGUUGCUGGGUGAGAAACAUAAAAAGUCAUGAAGUGGAGAAGAUAAUGGAGGGAUAAUAUCAUUUAGAUCCAUCUCUUUUACAAAAUAUCUGCUGUACGGCCAAGGCGGAUGUACGGUACAGCAGUCUAACCUUACCUCGCUCGCCCAGGCCUGCCGGCACAAUAAGAGAAUGAGGGAGCUAAUCCGCUUGCUUGUGCAGGCGAGGACCGCUCGGCUAGGGCGCGCCAGAGGAGCUUCGAGUGACUUGAUUCUUUGCUCUUCGACAGCCCUCACUCGAAGCUCUGCCCUUUGUUUUGCCCCGUGCUGUCUUCCUCCAGUUGACCCCACCCAACCCCAGGCCGAAAAAGGUUGCAAUCAAUUGCCCUUCCCGUUCUCAUCAAACAAAAGACUACCAUACACGCCUUUUCUUU
This 780-nucleotide long non-coding RNA is filed under the name Citrus sinensis (sweet orange). RNAcentral describes it as "long non-coding RNA (CSIN_LNC001763)". The record is from RNAcentral. Lineage: Eukaryota; Viridiplantae; Streptophyta; Magnoliopsida; Sapindales; Rutaceae.